RNAcentral lists this long non-coding RNA (234 nucleotides) under Elaeis guineensis (African oil palm). RNAcentral describes it as "long non-coding RNA (EGUI_LNC077968)". The record is from RNAcentral. Lineage: Eukaryota; Viridiplantae; Streptophyta; Magnoliopsida; Arecales; Arecaceae.
GUUUAUGAUCCUAUCCGAUCUGAUUGCCACCCCUAGGUGCAGCUGGUUUGAUUAGCGAGAUAUGUUGGAUGGUUCUUAGUUUGGAUGCAUGGUCUUUCAAAAAAUAUGAAUGCAUAUCCUUGAUAGGAGAAAGCUUGAAGUUAAUGGUGUGAUAUGGUUCUCUUGAACAGAAAAUCAAAUUAUUGACGGAUGAUGCAUUGCUGUGAACGAGAGAGAGUGAUAUUGAUUGUGGGA